GAGGAAUAUUGGUCAAUGGACGAGAGUCUGAACCAGCCAAGUAGCGUGAAGGAUGACUGCCCUAUGGGUUGUAAACUUCUUUUAUAUGGGAAUAAAGGAGCCUACGUGUAGGUUUUUGUAUGUACCAUACGAAUAAGGAUCGGCUAACUCCGUGCCAGCAGCCGCGGUAAUACGGAGGAUCCAAGCGUUAUCCGGAUUUAUUGGGUUUAAAGGGAGCGUAGGUGGAGGCUUAAGUCAGUUGUGAAAGUUUGCGGCUCAACCGUAAAAUUGCAGUUGAUACUGGGUUUCUUGAGUACAGUAGAGGUGGGCGGAAUUCGUGGUGUAGCGGUGAAAUGCUUAGAUAUCACGAAGAACUCCAAUUGCGAAGGCAGCUCACUAGACUGGCACUGACACUGAUGCUCGAAAGUGUGGGUAUCAAACAGGA
RNAcentral lists this ribosomal RNA (424 nucleotides) under uncultured bacterium. RNAcentral's name for it is "bacterial SSU rRNA". It matches the Rfam family "Bacterial small subunit ribosomal RNA", at positions 356 to 777 of the family's 1533-position model. The record is from RNAcentral.